CGCGGUAAUACGUAGGGUGCAAGCGUUGUCCGGGAAUUAUUGGGCGUAAAGAGCUCGUAGGCGGUUUGUCGCGUCUGCUGUGAAAUCUGGGGGCUCAACCCCCAGCCUGCAGUGGGUACGGGCAGACUAGAGUGCGGUAGGGGAGAUUGGAAUUCCUGGUGUAGCGGUGGAAUGCGCAGAUAUCAGGAGGAACACCGAUGGCGAAGGCAGAUCUCUGGGCCGUAACUGACGCUGAGGAGCGAAAGCAUGGGGAGCGAACAGGAUUAGAUACCCUGGUAGUCCAUGCCGUAAACGUUGGGAACUAGAUGUGGGGACCAUUCCACGGUCUCCGUGUCGCAGCUAACGCAUUAAGUUCCCCGCCUGGGGAGUACGGCCGCAAGGCUAAAACUCAAAGGAAUUGACGGGGGCCCGCACAAGCGGCGGAGCAUGCGGAUUAAUUCGAUGCAACGCGAAGAACCUUACCAAGGCUUGACAUAUACCGGAAACGUCCAGAGAUGGUCGCCCCGCAAGGUCGGUAUACAGGUGGUGCAUGGUUGUCGUCAGCUCGUGUCGUGAGAUGUUGGGUUAAGUCCCGCAACGAGCGCAACCCUCGUUCUAUGUUGCCAGCACGUUAUGGUGGGAACUCAUAGGAGACUGCCGGGGUCAACUCGGAGGAAGGUGGGGAUGACGUCAAAUCAUCAUGCCCCUUAUGUCUUGGGCUUCACGCAUGCUACAAUGGCCGGUACAAAGGGCUGCGAUACCGUAAGGUGGAGCGAAUCCCAAAAAGCCGGUCUCAGUUCGGAUUGAGGUCUGCAACUCGACCUCAUGAAGUCGGAGUCGCUAGUAAUCGCAGAUCAGCAACGCUGCGGUGAAUACGUUCCCGGGCCUUGUACACACCGCCCGUCAAGUCAUGAAAGUCGGUAACACCCGAAGCCAGUGGCCUAACCCUUGUGGAUGGAGCUGU
Molecule: ribosomal RNA, 943 nt
Filed under: Frigoribacterium sp. PDD-57b-14
Lineage: Bacteria; Bacillati; Actinomycetota; Actinomycetes; Micrococcales; Microbacteriaceae
Description: bacterial SSU rRNA
Rfam family: Bacterial small subunit ribosomal RNA
Source: RNAcentral